GUGUGUGCACACAUCCAUCUCUCUCUGUCUCUCUGUCUCUCUCUCUCAGGACCAGAGGGUUGCAACCUGUUCAUCUACCACCUCCCUCAGGAGUUUGGAGAUGGAGAGCUGAUGCAGAUGUUCCUUCCUUUCGGUAAUGUCAUCUCCUCCAAAGUGUUUGUGGAUCGGGCGACAAACCAAAGUAAAUGCUUUGGCUUUGUGAGUUUCGAUAACCCAGGUAGUGCCCAAGCUGCCAUCCAAUCAAUGAACGGCUUUCCAGAUCGGCCAUGAAAAGACCUCAAGGUGCAGCUGAAGAGCCAAAGGAUGCCAACC
Molecule: long non-coding RNA, 312 nt
Organism: Thalassophryne amazonica
Lineage: Eukaryota; Metazoa; Chordata; Actinopteri; Batrachoidiformes; Batrachoididae
Exons: 2
Source: RefSeq, a predicted model, not a curated record